Molecule: ribosomal RNA, 849 nt
Filed under: Endomelanconiopsis endophytica
Lineage: Eukaryota; Fungi; Ascomycota; Dothideomycetes; Botryosphaeriales; Botryosphaeriaceae
Description: eukaryotic LSU rRNA
Rfam family: Eukaryotic large subunit ribosomal RNA
Source: RNAcentral
CUGGGAUUGCCUUAGUAACGGCGAGUGAAGCGGCAAUAGCUCAAAUUUGAAAGCUGGCUCCUUCGGAGUCCGCGUUGUAAUUUGUAGAGGAUGCUUCGGCAAGGGCUCCCGUCUAAGUCCCCUGGAACGGGGCGUCACAGAGGGUGAGAAUCCCGUAUGUGAUGGGUUGCCUAAGCCAUGUGAAGCUCCUUCGACGAGUCGAGUUGUUUGGGAAUGCAGCUCUAAAUGGGAGGUAAAUUUCUUCUAAAGCUAAAUACCGGCCAGAGACCGAUAGCGCACAAGUAGAGUGAUCGAAAGAUGAAAAGCACUUUGGAAAGAGAGUUAAAAAGUACGUGAAAUUGUUGAAAGGGAAGCGCUUGCAGCCAGACUUGUCCGCAGUUGCUCAGCCGGUCUCUUGACCGGCGUACUCUUCUGCGGCCAGGCCAGCAUCAGUUCGGGCGGUCGGAUAAAGGUCCUGGGAAUGUAGCUCCCCUCGGGGAGUGUUAUAGCCCAGGGCGCAAUGCGGCCAGCCUGGACUGAGGAUCUCGCUUCGGCUAGGAUGCUGGCGUAAUGGCUGUAAGCGGCCCGUCUUGAAACACGGACCAAGGAGUCUAACAUCUAUGCGAGUGUUUGGGUGUCAAACCCAUGCGCGUAAUGAAAGUGAACGGAGGUGGGAACCCUCACGGGUGCACCAUCGACCGAUCCUGAUGUCUUCGGAUGGAUUUGAGUAAGAGCAUAGCUGUUGGGACCCGAAAGAUGGUGAACUAUGCCUGAAUAGGGUGAAGCCAGAGGAAACUCUGGUGGAGGCUCGCAGCGGUUCUGACGUGCAAAUCGAUCGUCAAAUUUGGGUAUAGGGGCGAAAGACUAAUC